UACGUAGGGGGCAAGCGUUGUCCGGAUUUAUUGGGCGUAAAGAGCGUGUAGGCGGCCAGACAGGUCAGCUGUGAAAACUCGAGGCUCAACCUCGAGACGUCGGUUGAAACCGUCCGGCUAGAGUCCGGAAGAGGAGAGUGGAAUUCCCGGUGUAGCGGUGAAAUGCGCAGAUAUCGGGAAGAACACCCGUGGCGAAGGCGGCUCUCUGGGACGGUACUGACGCUGAGACGCGAAAGCGUGGGGAGCGAACAGG
Molecule: ribosomal RNA, 253 nt
Filed under: uncultured bacterium
Lineage: Bacteria
Description: partial 16S ribosomal RNA
Rfam family: Bacterial small subunit ribosomal RNA
Source: RNAcentral